UCUCAUAUUAUUCUAUUAUGAUAUAACCUCAGAUUUUUACGCCGUUAUAAUUGUGUAACUUUUCGAAUUUUGUUUUUUCAUUUUCGUAAAUCACAUCCAGAAAAAUGUUCAAAAUUAUGUAACGAAAUUAAGAACGAGUGUCUUCCGUUUAACAUGUGUCGAAAACUCAACAAUCUCAAAGAAAAAAAAAAAUCUGAUUUAUACAAUAUACAAUAGGUACCACUAAUAAAAUACCCAAACAUAUAUUGUAAAAUAUUUAUCACGUUAUUUUUGAUUUUAAUAUAAAACGAAAAGAAUAAUUAACAAACGGUUUCAUUUUUAUCAGUUGAAAACCGCGAACAUAUAGUGACCUCACCAUUAUCCUUUACCUCGUGCAAUCUCGCCUUUCACAUCACCUAUAUCCAUCACCAUUUCUUUGUCUAAUCCACACACGCUUUCAUUAUAUCUCCUUAUAAUCCCUAGUCAUAUCUUCUUUAGUCUAUACCUAUUCCACAGUUUCCAUUUAAACUUAAUGUACUUAUAUCAUCGUUACUCCUUAUUUCAACAUGCUGAUAUUAUCUCAAUUCGUCAUCACUCAAUUGUCCUGCUAUACCUACUCCUGAUUCUCCUAGAAUAGCUAGGUAAAAACCGUCACAGGUUGAUAAACAUUCCAAAACAAUAAAUAAAUUAUUAUUCCAUGUAUUCCGUAUAUUAUGUACAUAAUCUUAUCAUAUUAUAGAAUUCAUGAAUAAUGGCGUUGAAAAGACCAAUCAAAAUUAUUCGUCAUAUUUGACAUAAUAUUUAUUUUGUAGAUAUUAUGACAAUGAAUUUCAUUAAAUAAAUCUAUGACUUAUCCCAGUUAAUGGUGGUAAACGUCCUGAGGUUAUCAGUUUAUGACUGAUAAAACAAUAAACAAAUUUUAAAUUAUAUAGUUUCAAUAUUAUAAUUAUUAAGAAAUACGUAGAGUCAUGGUGUGAACACUUUUAAAUUGAUUGAUAUAUAUUAUUAUAAUGAUGGAUUUCAGAUUAUUAAAUCCAAUGAAUAAUAUUGUACUGGCUACUGACUAAAUAUUUCAAAUAUGAAGAAAUAGAAUUUUUUAAAUUUUUUUUUAAUUAAAUAAAUUUAUAAAAUU
This is a non-coding RNA of Cinara cedri, 1111 nucleotides long. NCBI's taxonomy places the organism in Eukaryota, Metazoa, Arthropoda, Insecta, Hemiptera, Aphididae. The record is from the annotation of a GenBank genome assembly.